GGGGAUUUAGCUCAGUGGUAGAGCGCUUGCCUAGGAAGUGCAAAGUGCAAGGCCCUGGGUUCGGUCCCCAGCUCCCA
Molecule: transfer RNA, 77 nt
Filed under: Rattus norvegicus (Norway rat)
Lineage: Eukaryota; Metazoa; Chordata; Mammalia; Rodentia; Muridae
Rfam family: tRNA
About the family: Transfer RNA (tRNA) molecules are approximately 80 nucleotides in length. Their secondary structure includes four short double-helical elements and three loops (D, anti-codon, and T loops).
Source: Rfam by way of RNAcentral